Molecule: ribosomal RNA, 73 nt
Filed under: Staphylococcus aureus
Lineage: Bacteria; Bacillati; Bacillota; Bacilli; Caryophanales; Staphylococcaceae
Also listed under: 5 other names
Description: partial 16S ribosomal RNA
Rfam family: Bacterial small subunit ribosomal RNA
Source: RNAcentral
CAAAUGAUUGGGGUGAAGUCGUAACAAGGUAGCCGUAUCGGAAGGUGCGGCUGGAUCACCUCCUUUCUAAGGA